AAACAUGAUCGCUUCUUCUCUCAUUUCUUAGAAUAUAGAUCCAUUAAAAGAAUGAAUCAACGGGCAGAGAUACAUAAGGACGAGCUCAAACUCCGUGCUAACGCAGGAAUCGCACAGGUAUAUGAUUUAUCAUUUUUUGUUAGACACACACAAAAGAAAAAAAAAAAAUUCAUUGGGAGAGAUAUGAUUUAUGAUGUAAACCAAAAACUCUACAUCCAUCCUAAAAUCAAAGAGGAAUAUUUGAUGUUUUAUUUUAUUUCAUUAUUAUGAUUCAGGUUUUGAGUGGAGAAUAAGAAAAAACAAAAAUAAUCAUCAUUUACUUGUUAUAUUAACAGUUAUAUUUAUUAGUGUCUUCUCUUCCAUAUUUAAUAGAUUAGUUUCUUCCAGUGACCCUUUGAAACUUAUAUAGCAUAAUAUAUGCCAAUGUGAAUCCCUUUCGUGCGUUUUCAGGUAUCGGAGCCACGAAUUAAGAAGAAGGGGGAGAGAGAGAGAUGAAUAAGUUGAAGCAGUGAAGAGUAAUAAACACAUGCAUGAUAGUUGGUGUUUUAAUUUCUCUCAUUUCAUUACUAGUUAGAUAUUGCAGCCAAUGAGAAAGUAAGAGUUGCAACUGGAUCCAAAAAAAUAAGUCAGUUUUAUUUGGUGUAGAAGUUAGACAUCUUUAGCUGUGUUCAGAUGUGUGGAAUCAUGGCAGAGAUAUAUAAUAAUUCGAUCGUCAAUUUGUUUCGG
Molecule: long non-coding RNA, 726 nt
Filed under: Eutrema salsugineum
Lineage: Eukaryota; Viridiplantae; Streptophyta; Magnoliopsida; Brassicales; Brassicaceae
Description: long non-coding RNA (ESAL_LNC000149)
Source: RNAcentral